CGGAACGUAUCCAUAAGUGGGGGACAACCUGGCGAAAGCCAGGCUAAUACCGCAUACGCUCGAGAGAGGAAAGUGGGGGAUCGCAAGACCUCACGCUUUAGGAGCGGCCGAUAUCAGAUUAGCUAGAUGGUGAGGUAAAGGCUUACCAUGGCGACGAUCUGUAGCUGGUCUGAGAGGAUGAUCAGCCACACUGGGACUGAGACACGGCCCAG
RNAcentral lists this ribosomal RNA (212 nucleotides) under uncultured bacterium. Its description in RNAcentral is "partial 16S ribosomal RNA". It matches the Rfam family "Bacterial small subunit ribosomal RNA", at positions 119 to 334 of the family's 1533-position model. The record is from RNAcentral.